GCGGUAUCAACAGUAAGGUGUUUUAGGAGUUUUUCUUGCAAAUGGAAAAAAAAAACUACUACUUAAACAUGUUGAAACCAAGUUCCCAGAUUUUCAUAAUCAGAACCGUAAUCCAGAACCAUAAUCCACCACAGAAACUCCAUUAACACGGCAAGGAUGGAAAACAUUAAGACGUGUCUGGACGUUGAGCACAUUGCAUUGAACAAGCAUGGACAAGUUGUCAUCGGUACAACUAAUGAAAACAUCCGGUUGACUGAGUGCUAAGAAAUGCAAAUAUAUCUUUAUAGUUCAUAAGAUUUCAGUUUCUUACUGAUUAGUCAAUUUUCCACUGUGCAGUGAGUGCAUUUGCAGCAAAUCUGGAAGAGGGUAACAUGUACACGAGUGGACAUCACCCUGCAGGGUUUCAUGGACACUACAGGGACAUCUCCUUCAAAACCAAAGUGUGUGUGUGUGUGUGUGUGUGUGUGUGUGUGAUCAAUGACUUCACAUAACAUUUGUUUUUUUAUAUCAACUACGUCCUGGAUGUGAGUAAACCAGCCAGGGAGCUGAUAGUUAAAGAGGGAUCAGUUUGCCUUAUCCAGGAGAAUUUUUUGUUUUGGUCUGCAAAGGAACAUGCAUUUAUUUGUGGGACAUACCUGUUUGGAUGGCACAAAAUCAGACGGCGCAGUGCUUCUUGAUUCUACAUCAGAACACUGACUUAUUAUCGGCCAGCUCCUGCAUCAGCAUUACACGCAUGCUUCGUGGGGCUCAUGUGAACUGUGUAGUUAUGGUCGAAGAUUUACACAUUGGACAGAGGGGAGACCAACCUUGAAGGGAAAUGUCACGUCGGUCUUCCGGAUACCAAGGUAGAGGAAGUAUCCAGUCUCCACAGGAAGAGGUGUGGCCAGAAAGAAGUUUGCUGUUCCUCUUUUAUAGACAUACCCUAAAAAGGGCUUCUAUGAAGUCAUAAUAGACCACAUUUUUCAAUAAUUUGUGUCUUGCACAUUUCCACAGAAGAAUCACAAACCAGUCAAGACAUUCCAGGCAAGAAAGAAGGAACACAAUGGAAUGGGCACAGCUGAUACAACUUCGUACUGAUGUAGUUACCAUCAUGUCAUCACUGUGUAUGAACUGUGCUGAACACAGAUUUUUAGAAGAAAAUUUCAGCUUUGUGAGGAGUGCAUUGUCAUGAUUUAUAUUGAAAAAGGAUAGUUCCAUCCGUUUUCUUUAAAAGUUAGUUGGAUCGCAUUGAUUAAAGUACUGGAAUUAUAUGAAUUAUUUAUUUAUUUUUUUCAUAUUACAACUUUAAGCUUUUAUGAUCAUCAUGUGAUCAGUAAAACCUGGCUUUUUUAACAGUAGUUUGAAUAACAUAAGCUGAAGCAUUGAGAAAAAUAAAACAUGUUGAAAUGCAUUUUUUUAUUUUUUUAAUACUUUUUUUAAAUUACAAACAUAGAGAAAUGAACAACUGCAAAAAUAUGUAUUUGAUUUUGCUUUAAAUGUCCAUUGAAGUGUACAACCGUGGCAUCUACAGUACACUUCUCCAAUGUAGUGUAGAUGGAAGAGAUGUGUUUUUAGCCGUUUCUUGAAGAUGGACUCAGCUGCUGGGAUUGAGUUGGGCAGGUCAGUCCACCAGGAGGGAACAGUUAAUGUAAAAGUCAGUGAAAGUGAUUUUGUG
This is a long non-coding RNA of Sinocyclocheilus anshuiensis, 1654 nucleotides long. The record is from Ensembl. NCBI's taxonomy places the organism in Eukaryota, Metazoa, Chordata, Actinopteri, Cypriniformes, Cyprinidae.